RNAcentral lists this unclassified non-coding RNA (280 nucleotides) under Streptomyces stelliscabiei. RNAcentral's name for it is "partial 16S-23S ribosomal RNA intergenic spacer". Lineage: Bacteria; Bacillati; Actinomycetota; Actinomycetes; Kitasatosporales; Streptomycetaceae. The record is from RNAcentral.
AAGGAGCAUCUAGGCUGCCGGGCUUGCCCGGUGGUCCAGGGCCAUAACGCAGGCGAAUGUUCUGCGGUGGUUGCUCAUGGGUGGAACGUUGAUUAUUCGGCGUCUUGAGUCAUCUCAGGCUGUGAGUACUGUCCUUUCGGGGGCGUGGAAAGCUGAUCGGAGUGGUGAGGGAUGCCGGGCACGCUGUUGGGUGUCUGAGGGUAUGGCCGUAUGGCUGCCUUCAGUGCCGGCCCCAGUGCACUCGGACUUCUGGUUCGGGGUGAUGGGUGGUUGGUCGUUG